ACGCCCGCCGGCCGCCCGCUCCGCUCAUUGGCCCGGCGCGGCGGGGGGCGUGGCCCGGCGCGCGCCGGGGCCGGGGGCCGCGUUGCUGGGCAACCGCAGCGCGGAGCCCCCGCCGUCUCCAUAGCAACCGCAGCGCGGCGGGGGAGGCCGAGCGGGCGCGAGGGGCGCCGGGAAGGCCGGGCUGGGCCUGCGCCCGCGCUGCCCGGGCACGCGCUGGUCCUAGGCCGCACACCGACCUGGAGCGGUUGAGGAUCCCCCAGGAACCACGUCCGUGUAAACCGCGACCACUCAGGCCGUUUUCCUAGGGGCCGGGGAUAACCGCUUUUCUGCGCGGGGUAGUGCCGCGGAGGAACUGAAAGAACUGGAAAAAAAAAAAAUCACUAGGAAAAAUGGACCCUGUAAAGACCCACUGGGGAAUACUUGGCUUCUAAUCAGGCUGGGCAUGACCUGAGGGACUACUGCAGGCCUGACAUGCAAGCCUAAUGCUAACACUGAAGUGCUGUGCUACAAGGGGAUAAGAAUCUAACCGGAGGUGUUGGACAUACAUUAUCUGAUCUAGUCCCAUCACGCUGCAAACACACACGAGGAAGAGGAGAAACGCAGCACCGAUGGGAGCAUUGUCCUUUUCAUGAAAUACUAGGACAAAUGAGCUACUUAGUGCAUCUUCACUGACAUCAAGUGACAACCCUAGAGCUGAAUUUGGCUUUCAUGCAGAAAUCCUUUCUGCCUGUCCAACUGAAUGUGGAAAAUGUCAGAGUCCAUCUGAAAAAAGAAAUCCCUCUCCAGCUAGAAGCAGAACUACACUAAUCAAUUAAAUGUUACUGGGCUAAAUGAUACAAAUAAGUAUGCAUAAACUGAAUUAGCAAUACAGUUGGUGCUAUGACUCCCUAACUCCAAUAUAAACAAAGUAUUGUAGGUUAUUACUUAGUAACAAUUAAUUCACAAACAGUACACAAGAAUAAAGUAUAUGUGUAGGGCAUAUGACUUAAAAAUGGUAGUCUUGCUCUGUGUGAUUCUGCCUCUCUGCUCAUUCAAAUUGCUUAAUUUUUUAAAGUUUCCCAGACAUGAGCACAAGCAGUUAAAGACACAGACCUGGAUAAGAAAAUCUUGAAGCAUGCAUGCAUUUAGAUGUUAUGUGAAACACAUGACCUGAGAGGGUUUGGUUUUUCUUUUUAGACUCUGGCCUGAAACUCUAUUAACUUUCAGAUUUCCUUUUGGCAAGAAAACAAAUCCUGUGAAGUAGCAGAGAUGCUCUUGUGCAAGUACAUGCAGAGGCUGGCUUGGAAGCUCUGCGACACACGGCCACGGUCUCUCUGCAGCAGUUACAUAUAAGCAGUGUUGCACAGUAGCCGCCUCUCCACUCCCCAGUUAAAUGGCUCCCAGGGAGGGUGUGCUAACCCACAAACUCACCACGGUAAGCCAUGACAUCCUCAAACCCUCAGAAAAGAUGGAUCGAGGGGAUGAUGACAGAUGCUGUUAGUAAUGCUUGGUGUGGGCACCCUCCUGGAGAGGAGUCAUGAAGCUGCGUACAUUGUGCUGUGGGCAGUGAUGAGCAUGCACAGCAUAAAUGCAGCUACACUGCUUCUGGAACAGGAAUUAGUUUAUGCAGAGCAGCAUGGCAUGCUUGGAGAUGCCCUACCUGGCACAGCAACUCUGCGGUAUAGAUAUGUUUAGGGAAUUUUUUUUUCCUGUAAAUGCUUCCUGUUUUCUGUCCCAGAGGCUUGUUUAUAACCCAGGUACAAGAUCUGUGGUAGGCAGUCCUUCUGAAUGCAAGGCUCUAGUCAAGGAGAUAUUUUAACAAAGAAUUGUAUAGUCUUCUUACUGGUUUAGAUUAUCUGUAUGCCAGAAUGCUCUAAACUGUAUUAAAUGACUAGUCAUGUCUCACCCUU
Alligator mississippiensis (American alligator) is the source of this 1889-nucleotide long non-coding RNA. RefSeq lists it as uncharacterized. The transcript has 2 exons. NCBI's taxonomy places the organism in Eukaryota, Metazoa, Chordata, Crocodylia, Alligatoridae. The record is from RefSeq and is a predicted model, not a curated record.